RNAcentral lists this long non-coding RNA (512 nucleotides) under Lathyrus oleraceus (garden pea). RNAcentral describes it as "Pisum sativum (pea) long non-coding RNA (PSAT_LNC030175)". The record is from RNAcentral. Lineage: Eukaryota; Viridiplantae; Streptophyta; Magnoliopsida; Fabales; Fabaceae.
UGGAAGCAAUUAGAAAUGAUCAAGGCGCUUGUUUUCUUAAGAGCACAACCAGUUCCAAAUACAACUUACCCGUGAGCAGAGAGAGUAUUCAUUAACCCCUUUGAGCUUAAACAGUUGAAUCUCAUCUUGAAAUAAAGCGAGAUGCCAAAAAUCUUUUUUCUUGAAACCCGGAAAAUUUUGAUAAUUGUUCUUUUUCCGUAAAAAGUCAAGAGCAUUCACUUAGGGUGAGUAAGAAAUAAGUUGGGGAGAACGAAAAAGAGAAUCGGUAAGUGCCAUAACUCUUGAAAAACCGAGCAAGCAUUGAAAAUAAAAAAAAAAAUAAAAAAUUCAGAAAAGAGAAACAUUUGUUUUGUAAAUAUGAUGUGAAAGAAAAGAAAAAAUAGAAAAAAUGAAAAUGAAUGCUUGCUUGGAAGAAAAAUAGUGAAAAACAAAAAUUGAGCUGUGAAAUAAGAGUUGUGAAGGUUUCAAAUGAGAAACAAAUGGAACGAAGUUGAGAUAUGUGAAUAAUGUAC